Long non-coding RNA from Salvelinus sp. IW2-2015, 538 nucleotides. RefSeq lists it as uncharacterized. NCBI's taxonomy places the organism in Eukaryota, Metazoa, Chordata, Actinopteri, Salmoniformes, Salmonidae. The record is from RefSeq and is a predicted model, not a curated record.
AAAUUUAGUUUUAAUUUUUCUGGGAAGAAAUCCAAAGACUCCGGCAGGAAAACAAAUCACUGAAGGAAGACAGGGCAGAAAUGCAGAGUACAGCAGGAAAACAYCCCUGAGGGAAGAAGUUAAGAUGCUAAGGAGUGGGCCAGCAGGUCCAGGUGGUAUCGGAUCACUGAGUUAAAAAGUGGUGCAGGUUGCUACCAUACCAGGGACCUUUACUGCAAGUGGGCAAUCAGGUCUGGAUAACACACUUUUGCUGCGGCGUAUUGGAGCAGAGGAUGAUCCAACGCUUGAGAUGGAUAACAAGAUGUAUAACUUGUUAGCCUAUCAACAGGCCAAUGGGUCGGUUGGAGCUUUGUCUUUGCCUGAUGAUCUCAAUAACCCGAUGGAGGACCGGCAAGCCCUGGAGCUGCUGGAGACCAGGCUGACCAGGACACGAGCCCAAGGAGAGACUUGUAAGUGUGCUCAGAAUUUUAAAUAGUAUGGCUUUUUCCUGGAAGGUAAAAGAGACAUUCAACUUUGACCCUGUUMUUGUGAUCGUUGU